This 933-nucleotide ribosomal RNA is filed under the name Triticum aestivum (bread wheat). RNAcentral's name for it is "partial small subunit ribosomal RNA". The record is from RNAcentral. Lineage: Eukaryota; Viridiplantae; Streptophyta; Magnoliopsida; Poales; Poaceae.
AUGGUAGAUGCGGUCGCCGCGCGCCUACCAACCUGGAAGGCCUGGCUGAUGACUAAAACCGGGCGCCUUGCACUGGUCAAGUCGGUCUUGUGUGCCAUCCCAGUGCACCAAGUGCUUGCGUUCGCGCCCCCCAGAAAAACCCUCAAGCAGAUCGAGAAGAUUCAGCGCGGUUUCCUUUGGGCUGGACGUGCCGCUGCCAAUGUCGGACACUGCCACAUGAACUGGAACAGAGUUUGCCGCCCCAUCGAGCUUGGGGGCCUGGGCGUGCGAGACCUCAAGCGUGUCAGUCUCGCCCUGCGACUACGCUGGUUAUGGUUCUCCAAAACGGACCCGGAGCAAGCAUGGCAAGGGCUAGACCUUCAAUUCUCGCCCACGGAACGAGCCCUGUUCUGGGCAUCCACGGUCACGGUCAUUGGGAAUGGGCAGGCCGCCCUGCUCUGGGAGGACCGAUGGAUCGGUGGCCAAUCCGUGUGCGAGCUCAUGCCUAACCUCUACGGCUGCAUCCCCAAGCGACGACGGACGACGAGAACUGUGGCGGAUGGACUCAAUGGCAACUCCUGGGCACGCGACAUCCAAGACAACCUCGGCCUCCACAAGAUUGGUCAGUAUCUACAGCUCUGGCAGAUCAUGCAGCGCACCGAGCUCUCCACCACACCAGACAGGUUGAUCUGGAGAUGGACGGCGAGCGGCACCUAUUCCGCGCAGUCCUGUUACACGGCCACCUUCCAUGGAUCAACGGGCUGCCAUUCCUGGAAGCUAAUCUGGAAGUGCUGGGCGCCGCCGCGAGUCAAGUUCUUCCACUGGUUAGCCAACCAGGACCGCUGCUGGACGGCAGAGAGGCUGGCUCGCCACGGUCUCCAACAUUAUCCCCGCUGCCUCCUAUGUGACCAGCAGCCGGAGAUGAUGCGACAUCUACUGCUGGAAUGCCCCUAG